This is a long non-coding RNA of Vicia villosa (hairy vetch), 1826 nucleotides long. RefSeq lists it as uncharacterized. Lineage: Eukaryota; Viridiplantae; Streptophyta; Magnoliopsida; Fabales; Fabaceae. The transcript has 5 exons. The record is from RefSeq and is a predicted model, not a curated record.
ACUAUAUGAUAAAAAAUAAAAUUAUAAGAUAGAAAGGGGAUUAGGGCUAACCUGUGUUUGUGACCCUUGAACUCUACGUUCUUCCUCUUCUCUUCUCGCGAGCUACGGCGGAGGGGCUCCGGCGAAGUCAAAUUCAGACGCGACGGCCACCUUCCUUCGUUCUCAAACUCACUCUGAUUUCACUUCCGGUCCUCUCUCGAUCUCAGACUUUCUUCAGCUUUCAUGACGCGUCAGGAUUCUCUCAGAUUCGCACUCGACUCCUCUCUCGGUUCAAUCUCCCUCUCGAUUCAAAUCGUCACUCUCUCAACCUCGCCACCGGCAGUAUGAUGCAGUGUUAUGGAUGUGUGCAGAGGUACGUUCUUGCCUCGAAUUGAAGUGUUGAAUCGUUGGUGAUUGAGGAUGUUGCUGAAUCGAUUCGGAGACACAGCUUUUCCGUGAGGAUUUGAAGAAGAUCGAUGAAGAAUUGCACAGGGAGAGAUGAAGAUUUGUGGUGAUUGUUGAAGAUUCUCUCUGAAUCGAAGAGUGAAGAUUCGAGGAUGAAGAGAAAGGAUUGGAGAUUGAAUCCAGAAGUUUGUUACGUUUCUGUUAGAGUGGUGAUUGAAGGAGGUCGAUUGGAGAUGAAGGUGAUGGAAAGAGAUGGAUGAAGCUCUGAAAGAUGAAGAAUCGAGUAGAGUGGUUAUGAAGAAGAUGGCUUGGAGAACGGUGGGAGAGAUUGAAGAUGAGAGUGAAUGGUGGUGGAUGAGCGUGUAUGCUAUGGUGAAUGAGUGUGGAAGUUCAGAAAUGGUGAAAAAUGGAUCGAGAGAGAGAAUCUGAAGAUGAUGGUUCGAUUAUAUAGAGGUUGAAGGAGAGGAAAUCAGUUAGAAGUUGAAGAACCUGGGCCGUUGGAUCGAAGUAGUUAGUUAAAGGAAUGGAAGGUGUGGAUUGAGUCUGUCAAGAGGUGUUUGAUUCUGACUGUUAAUCAAUAUGUCACAAUUCUCGGCCAAGCCUGAUGUUUUAUGCACCGGCCUUGCCGCGGUGUGACUUUGAAUUGGUUCUAAACAGAUGCCAGCGGGAUAGUGUAAGCACGAAGUCAAAUUCUGAUGUGUCUGAGUGUGCAGAGCUGGAAAGAUUCUCAAUUCGGUAUAAUUAGAAGUCGCGGGUGGCUCCUUCGACCGUAUGGGCUGACAGCGACAUGGCGUUUGCUUGCAGACGGAACAAGAUGAUGAGCGUGGUUGCAAUUUGAGGCUCCGUGAUGUGUCUCAGGUCUGAUUCAGUACAGGUACGAACCGGGCGUAGAUUGAACGGAGUUGUGACAGGUUAAAAACUAAUGUAAUCUUUGAAUGUGUUUGUGGUAAUUUGUUCGAAACUGAACUGAAUGCGAACUGUCGUGCUAUGAACUUUGAGAUGGAGAUUGGAUUUGGAUUGUAUGGAAACAACGGGGAUUAGCUUUUUUCUGUCAGGAUCGGAAUGUACAACUUGGUUAAUUGAUGUUAGUUUGAAAUCAAAAAUCAAAAUGUUGGAAACUUAGUAUGCUAAGGUGUAUGCAGUGGGGUCUGAAGGUGUAUUUGGCAUGAGGAUUCAAGAGUUGAGGAUUAAGCAGAAUGAUAUGCACUUGCCGAUUGAGAUCCCAUUUCGCCACUCACAUGUCUGGUAGUUACACGUUGAAAUCGUCUCAUAACUGGAUGGUAAAGCCAUGUAGAAAUAGCACACGAUUCUGAAGGACAAAUUCUGAUGUAAUCCUUUUUUAUUAAGGUGUAGCAUCAUGAUAUCUUGUAGUAACCUUUUUUUGAAUUUUUGCAUGGUGGUAAGUUUUUGCAUGGCUAUAUGUAAUAUAUGAUUAAUGAUGA